This 496-nucleotide ribosomal RNA is filed under the name uncultured bacterium. Its description in RNAcentral is "partial 16S ribosomal RNA". It matches the Rfam family "Bacterial small subunit ribosomal RNA", at positions 28 to 506 of the family's 1533-position model. The record is from RNAcentral.
GAUGAACGCUGGCGGCGUGCCUAAUACAUGCAAGUCGAGCGAACAGACGAGGAGUUUGCUCCUUUGACGUUAGCGGCGGACGGGUGAGUAGCACGUAGUUUACCUACCUAUUAGACUGGGAUAACUUCGGGAAACCGGAGCUACUACCGGAUAAUAUUUCGAACCGCAUGGUUCGAUAGUGAAGUAUGUCUUUGCUAUCCUUUCUGGAUGUCCCUUCGCCGUAUUAGUUAUUUGGUAAGGUAACGGCUUACCAAGGCCACGCUACGUAGCAGACCUGAGAGGGGGAGCGGGCACGAGGGAGCUGACGGACGGACCGGAACCGAGAGGGGGGCAGGAGUAGGGAAGGUGGCGGAAGGGGCGAAAGCCUGACGAAGGGAGGCCGCGUGAGGGAUGAAGGUCUCCGGAUGGUAAAACGCUGUUGUGAGGGAAGAACAAACGGGUAGGUAACUGUGCACGUGUUGAGGGUACCUAAUCAGAAGGCCACGGCUACCUCCGG